RNAcentral lists this ribosomal RNA (501 nucleotides) under uncultured bacterium. RNAcentral describes it as "partial 16S ribosomal RNA". It matches the Rfam family "Bacterial small subunit ribosomal RNA", at positions 29 to 523 of the family's 1533-position model. The record is from RNAcentral.
AUUGAACGCUGGCGGCAUGCCUUACACAUGCAAGUCGAACGGCAGCACGGGUGCUUGCACCUGGUGGCGAGUGGCGAACGGGUGAGUAAUACAUCGGAACGUACCUUAUCGUGGGGGAUAGCGCAGCGAAAGCUGUGCUAAUACCGCAUACGCCCUGAGGGGGAAAGCGGGGGAUCGCAAGACCUCGCGCGAUUAGAGCGGCCGAUGCCUGAUUAGCUUGUUGGUGGGGUAAAAGCCCACCAAGGCGACGAUCAGUAGCUGGUCUGAGAGGACGAUCAGCCACGCUGGGACUGAGACACGGCCCAGACUCCUACGGGAGGCAGCAGUGGGGAAUUUUGGACAAUGGGGGCAACCCUGAUCCAGCAAUGCCGCGUGAGUGAAGAAGGCCUUCGGGUUGUAAAGCUCUUUUGUCAGGGAAGAAACACCGGCUCUAACACAGUCUGGGAAUGACGGUACCUGAAGAAUAAGCACCGGCUAACUACGUGCCAGCAGCCGCCGUAA